UCCGAGUUGACCCCGGCAGUCUCCUAUGAGUCCCCACCAUCACGUGCUGGCAACAUAGGACGAGGGUUGCGCUCGUUGCGGGACUUAACCCAACAUCUCACGACACGAGCUGACGACAGCCAUGCAGCACCUGUGCAAGCUUCCCUUGCGGGAUCGUCCCACUUUUAUGGUUCUACUACUUGCAUGUCAAGGCCAGGUAAGGUUCUUCGCGUUGCAUCGAAUUAAGCCACAUACUCCACCGCUUGUGCAGGCCCCCGUCAAUUUCUUUGAGUUUUAAUCUUGCGACCGUACUUCCCAGGCGGCUUGCUUAACGCGUUAGCUCCGCCACAAGAGGGGUCGCAAGAUUAAAACUCAAAGAAAUUGA
This 364-nucleotide unclassified non-coding RNA is filed under the name uncultured Verrucomicrobiae bacterium. RNAcentral's name for it is "contains 16S-23S intergenic spacer region". Lineage: Bacteria; Pseudomonadati; Verrucomicrobiota; Verrucomicrobiia. The record is from RNAcentral.